Molecule: ribosomal RNA, 253 nt
Filed under: uncultured bacterium
Lineage: Bacteria
Description: partial 16S ribosomal RNA
Rfam family: Bacterial small subunit ribosomal RNA
Source: RNAcentral
UACGUAGGGUGCAAGCGUUGUCCGGAAUUAUUGGGCGUAAAGAGCUCGUAGGCGGUUUGUCGCGUCGAAUGUGAAAACCCGGGGCUCAACCCCGGGCCUGCAUUCGAUACGGGCAGACUAGAGUUCGGUAGGGGAGUCUGGAAUUCCUGGUGUAGCGGUGAAAUGCGCAGAUAUCAGGAAGAACACCUAUGGCGAAGGCAGCUCUCUGGGACGGUACUGACGCUGAGACGCGAAAGCGUGGGGAGCGAACAGG